Molecule: ribosomal RNA, 1254 nt
Filed under: metagenome
Description: SSU rRNA
Rfam family: Eukaryotic small subunit ribosomal RNA
Source: RNAcentral
AGUCUGGUGCCAGCAGCCGCGGUAAUUCCAGCUCCAAUAGCGUAUAUUAAAGUUGUUGCAGUUAAAAAGCUCGUAGUUGGAUUUCUGGUGUCAAGUUUGUUCCAAUUCUGGGGGGACUUGUUUUCUUUCACUUUGAGAGGAGGCGGGGCUUCCCGUGGAGCAGUGACUUGGUAUCAUCCUCUCGGGGACGGCACAUGUCCUUUGUUGGGUGUGUGUUUUUGGACCCGGGAUCUUUACUUUGAAAAAAUUAGAGUGUUCAAAGCAGGCCUUCGCUUGAAUACAUUAGCAUGGAAUAAUAGAAUAGGACUUUGGUUCUGUUUUGUUGGUUUAUAGGACCGAAGUAAUGAUUAAUAGGGAUAGUUGGGGGCAUUAGUAUUUAAUUGUCAGAGGUGAAAUUCUUGGAUUUAUGAAAGACUAACAUCUGCGAAAGCAUUUGCCAAGGAUGUUUUCAUUAAUCAAGAACGAAAGUUAGGGGAUCGAAGACGAUCAGAUACCGUCGUAGUCUUAACCAUAAACUAUGCCGACUAGGGAUCGGUGGGUUCAACAAUUUUAGGCCCAUCGGCACCUUAUGGGAAACCAAAGUUUUUGGGGUUCCGGGGGGAGUAUGGUCGCAAGGCUGAAACUUAAAGGAAUUGACGGAAGGGCACCACCAGGAGUGGAGCCUGCGGCUUAAUUUGACCCAACACGGGAAAACUCACCAGGUCCAGACAUAGGAAGGAUUGACAGAUUGAGAGCUCUUUCUUGAUUCUAUGGUUGGUGGUGCAUGGCCGCUCUUAGUUGGUGGAGUGAUUUGUCUGGUUAAUUCCGUUAACGAACGAGACCUUAACCUGCUAAAUAGAGUUGCGAUUCUCGAAUCGUAGACUACUUCUUAGAGGGACUAUCGGCGUUUAGUCGGUGGAAGUUUGAGGCAAUAACAGGUCUGUGAUGCCCUUAGAUGUUCUGGGCUGCACGCGCGCUACACUGACGAGAGCAACGAGUGUUCCUUGCCCUGGAAAGGGUGGGUAAUCUUUUGAAAUCUCGUCGUUAUGGGGAUAGAUCUUUGUAAUUAUCGAUCUUGAACGAGGAAUUCCUAGUAAGCGCGAUUCAUCAAAUCGCGUUGAUUACGUCCCUGCCCUUUGUACACACCGCCCGUCGCUACUACCGAUUGAAUGGUUUAGUGAGGCCUCGGGAUUGACGAAUGGGAGAUCAGCAAUGAUUCCCCUAUCGCUCGAGAACUUGGUCAAACUUGAUCAUUUAGAGGAAGUAAAAGUCGUA